Long non-coding RNA from Astatotilapia calliptera (eastern happy), 1033 nucleotides. The record is from Ensembl. NCBI's taxonomy places the organism in Eukaryota, Metazoa, Chordata, Actinopteri, Cichliformes, Cichlidae.
AGAGAUUGGAUGGAUUAACUGAGGGCAAAGGAGAAAAAGCUAAAUAUUUCAAGACACCUUUGGAUCAGUGACUCGCAAUCCUAAAUUGAGGAGUGCCAAAGAAGCAGGGUUGCGAGAUGAAUCUAAACAGGGUGGUUGGAUGUGUCAUUAGUUUUCCUGAUCAUAACCCAGAGGUCUGGACAGCUUCAAGCUCAACUGUUGACCUGGUGAAAUCUUCCUAAAGUUCAACUCUCCAGGUCACUUCAAGGAUGCAGUCCCACCAGGAUAUCUCAACGCAGACACAGCCACUCACAAACACUCAGAUAAGACAUAAGAAACCUGAGGGAUGUGAGAGAACAUCUGUUGAGAAUUUGCUUUCUGAAUUACACGAGAAUGGAGUGCCAUUUGAGUUCACCGGGUUGAACAGGUGACUCAUAAUGCAAUAAGGCUAUUUUAGAGCCUGCAUGUCUUCCCCCUGCUCUCUCCCAGCUUUCCUGUCAUAAUAAAGGCUUUAAAAAAACCAUAAAAAGAAUGCUAAAUGUAAAACUUCAAUAUUUGAAGUGGUAAUAAUCCACAUUAUUCAGAUAGAUGGAUUUAAUUAUCUUUAAAAAAUGUCUUGUUGCUGACCUUCUGAAAAUGUAAGUAUUUUGAGUGACCAGUAGGACGUACUAUGAAGCAUGCUCAACAUAGCCAGGAUUUCUUUGUAUCAGCUGGCUUGAAAAAGUCUAAAAUCUAGUCAGAGAAAACUGGUAUCACAAUGGUGGUUAUCGGAUUUGUUUGUUAACUCGGGCUUUCUGCUUUAGGCUCUUAGUGCACUCACAUAAAGCAAAGCUUCUGAUGGGUCAUUUGACUCUUCUGCGCAAAAUAGAUCAACUGAGCACGAGGUGCUACAAGAGGAACGGGUGAUAGAUAUCUAUAAAGAACAGAAAUAAUAUAACAGUAAAAUACAACCCUGCAGCUGCAAAGUAGACAAGAGAAUUACGCUGCAGAAAAUCAUUAAUUUUAUGAAUUAAUUGUCAUCACAAACUCACAGUGGUAGAAAAAUAUAUCAACA